This 2310-nucleotide long non-coding RNA is filed under the name Oncorhynchus mykiss (rainbow trout). Its description in RNAcentral is "lncRNA (ENSOMYG00000052722.1)". The record is from RNAcentral. Lineage: Eukaryota; Metazoa; Chordata; Actinopteri; Salmoniformes; Salmonidae.
ACACAUAGCCCAUAGACCUCAUCCCGGCCUCCCAGCUUCGGGGAUGGGUCUCCUACAGCAUCACUGGUCAUGUGACCUCCUACAGGUGCUAGUAGUAACAACAUGGCUGGGAGAUCUCUGUGGUCCCUGUCCGUCACAGGAGGUGUGGGGUGUCUGAUGACAUCACUGGGCUCGGCAGGGGAGAGGCUCCACCUGAUUGGGCAAUUGGCUUUUAUCACAUCUGAACAGAGCUAAGAAUAAAGCCAGCCAGGGAGCAUGAUAACAACACGGAUGCUCCUCAGAGUCUGCAUAGAAGAGAGGCAAUGUUGGCUGACAUGAGACGGUUGGAGGGGGGUGGGGGACGGAAUGUUUAAAUAGGAUGAAGCGUUACGUGGCAACAAGCAAUCUCAGUUUUAGAGUGGUACUCAAGGGGGCUUAGAGCUUUGAGAGUGAAGGCUGGUAGAGAUACAUGCACACAUGAAAUGUAUUUGAUAGUGAGAAAACGUCCAGCUGCAAGAUAUCUCAAGGUGAAACAUAAACCGCCCUCGUGUCAGCUUGGCUCAGGAGUAUGACAAAGUUGCCCCAAUAUGCUGAUGUAAGGACAGUUUCACAUCUCCCUCCCUAGUGAUUAAGGUCAGGAUUUUGGGGAGAUUAAACUGAUUUCAGACCUGUGCCUAUGAGCAGCUUCCAACUGGAAAUCCUGCUGCUCUUUGUAUCCUAUAGAUGCUGCUGUGGCUUGGAUUCCCAGUAGUGUCAGACCUGGGGCGUAUCCGUCAUGUUGACGGACAGCGGAUGGACAGGGGGCAGCUGUGAGUCGUUGCUGCACUACUUUGUGCAAGUGGAACAAAAGACUGAGGGGAAGGAGACGUCACACAGACUCACCCAAGAUCCCAACGGAGCAGAGAGGUCAGCUCUAUUGACACUGACUCAUCCAAGAUCCCAACGGAGCAGAGAGGUCAGCACUAUUGACACUGACUCAUCCAAGAUCCCAACGGAGCAGAGAGGUCAGCUCUAUUGACACUGACUCAUCCAAGAUCCCAACGGAGCAGAGAGGUCAGCACUAUUGACACUGACUCAUCCAAGAUCCCAAUGGAGCAGAGAGGUCAGCACUAUUGACACUGACUCAUCCAAGAUCCCAAUGGAGCAGAGAGGUCAGCUCUAUUGACACUGACUCAUCCAAGAUCCCAACGGAGCAGAGGUCAACAAUAUUGACACUGACUCAUCCAAGAUCCCAACGGAGCAGAGAGGUCAGCACUAUUGACACUGACUCAUCCAAGAGCCCAACGGAGCAGAGAGGUCAGCACUAUUGACACUGACUCAUCCAAGAUCCCAACGGAGCAGAGAGGUCAGCACUAUUGACACUGACUCAUCCAAGAUCCCAACGGAGCAGAGAGGUCAGCACUAUUGACACUGACUCAUCCAAGAUCCCAACGGAGCGGAGAGGUCAGCUCUAUUGACACUGCGGCUCCUCUAAUGCGCUGAGCUAAAGCUGACCUCCACUGAUUUCACUUUGCUAUUCUUAGAGCUGCUGCAUUGUCCUCAAUUAACACAGAGGAAAGUACAAGAGAGAUAAAGGAAUCGUGCCCAUCCUCUUGAGGAUGGUUUCUUAAACCAUGAGUGGACCCAAAGUGGGCCCUGGGCAUCUGAGGUGUGUCGCGAGUUACAGGAAUAAUCUAUAAUCACACACUAUUUGUAUAUCUCUUAAUUUAGGUCAUUGAAGAACGAUUAGGGUCACAGGGGAAGGUCAUUUUGGGUCACAAGUUGAAAAAGUUUAGGAACCCCUGCUCUAGUAUAGUAAUAGUAACCUAUUCGAACAGAUAGUGAAUUGACAGAGGAAGUAGGCCUUAGCCCCUCUCUGCAUCCCCACUCAUAUGGCAUCAUAUCAUAUCCCUUUAAUCAAACACAGGAUACAGUGUCCAAUGCACAUCCAAUGAUCUAAAUAAGCUCAGCAUGAGGACAGGAGCACCAUAACUAUUUUUGGAAGAAAUUGUUCCCUGGUAUCCCAGCUGCUGCUAAGCUUUACAGUACUGGAUCAAAAAAGAGAUGUCUCCCUGCCACUGCCAGCAUCCCUCCCUACCACCAGCAUCCCUAGUCCACCUUCAUGUGUCCUUCCUCUCCUCUGCUUCUUCCUCCUCCCAUCUCAUACAGCGUUGCUGCGGUGAUGUCAUCAUUCCCUGCUCCAGCCAAGCCAGAGAUUUUGUUCUGAGCUCUCCAAGAGCUGCAGCAGCCAUCACAUGGUCCUCACCACUGCAUCACUCACCUCCCCCCUGCUGCAGGUAGCUCAGGUUGCUAGGAGACACUAUCUCUGGCUGCCUAGUAACAGAUAAAUGU